AAGAGUUUGAUCAUGGCUCAGAUUGAACGCUGGCGGCAGGCCUAACACAUGCAAGUCGAACGGUAACAGGAAGCAGCUUGCUGCUUCGCUGACGAGUGGCGGACGGGUGAGUAAUGUCUGGGAAACUGCCUGAUGGAGGGGGAUAACUACUGGAAACGGUGGCUAAUACCGCAUAACGUCGCAAGACCAAAGAGGGGGACCUUCGGGCCUCUUGCCAUCAGAUGUGCCCAGAUGGGAUUAGCUUGUUGGUGAGGUAACGGCUCACCAAGGCGACGAUCCCUAGCUGGUCUGAGAGGAUGACCAGCCACACUGGAACUGAGACACGGUCCAGACUCCUACGGGAGGCAGCAGUGGGGAAUAUUGCACAAUGGGCGCAAGCCUGAUGCAGCCAUGCCGCGUGUAUGAAGAAGGCCUUCGGGUUGUAAAGUACUUUCAGCGGGGAGGAAGGUGUUGUGGUUAAUAACCGCAGCAAUUGACGUUACCCGCAGAAGAAGCACCGGCUAACUCCGUGCCAGCAGCCGCGGUAAUACGGAGGGUGCAAGCGUUAAUCGGAAUUACUGGGCGUAAAGCGCACGCAGGCGGUCUGUCAAGUCGGAUGUGAAAUCCCCGGGCUCAACCUGGGAACUGCAUUCGAAACUGGCAGGCUUGAGUCUUGUAGAGGGGGGUAGAAUUCCAGGUGUAGCGGUGAAAUGCGUAGAGAUCUGGAGGAAUACCGGUGGCGAAGGCGGCCCCCUGGACAAAGACUGACGCUCAGGUGCGAAAGCGUGGGGAGCAAACAGGAUUAGAUACCCUGGUAGUCCACGCCGUAAACGAUGUCUACUUGGAGGUUGUGCCCUUGAGGCGUGGCUUCCGGAGCUAACGCGUUAAGUAGACCGCCUGGGGAGUACGGCCGCAAGGUUAAAACUCAAAUGAAUUGACGGGGGCCCGCACAAGCGGUGGAGCAUGUGGUUUAAUUCGAUGCAACGCGAAGAACCUUACCUGGUCUUGACAUCCACGGAAGUUUUCAGAGAUGAGAAUGUGCCUUCGGGAACCGUGAGACAGGUGCUGCAUGGCUGUCGUCAGCUCGUGUUGUGAAAUGUUGGGUUAAGUCCCGCAACGAGCGCAACCCUUAUCCUUUGUUGCCAGCGAUUAGGUCGGGAACUCAAAGGAGACUGCCAGUGAUAAACUGGAGGAAGGUGGGGAUGACGUCAAGUCAUCAUGGCCCUUACGACCAGGGCUACACACGUGCUACAAUGGCGCAUACAAAGAGAAGCGACCUCGCGAGAGCAAGCGGACCUCAUAAAGUGCGUCGUAGUCCGGAUUGGAGUCUGCAACUCGACUCCAUGAAGUCGGAAUCGCUAGUAAUCGUGGAUCAGAAUGCCACGGUGAAUACGUUCCCGGGCCUUGUACACACCGCCCGUCACACCAUGGGAGUGGGUUGCAAAAGAAGUAGGUAGCUUAACCUUCGGGAGGGCGCUUACCACUUUGUGAUUCAUGACUGGGGUGAAGUCGUAACAAGGUAACCGUAGGGGAACCUGCGGUUGGAUCACCUCCUUACCUUAAAGAA
RNAcentral lists this ribosomal RNA (1546 nucleotides) under Salmonella enterica subsp. enterica. Its description in RNAcentral is "bacterial SSU rRNA". It matches the Rfam family "Bacterial small subunit ribosomal RNA". The record is from RNAcentral. Lineage: Bacteria; Pseudomonadati; Pseudomonadota; Gammaproteobacteria; Enterobacterales; Enterobacteriaceae.